Gavialis gangeticus (Gharial) is the source of this 1680-nucleotide long non-coding RNA. RefSeq lists it as uncharacterized. The transcript is spliced from 3 exons. Lineage: Eukaryota; Metazoa; Chordata; Crocodylia; Gavialidae. The record is from RefSeq and is a predicted model, not a curated record.
GCCAGUCUGAAUCAGUGUCUUUCUCUCUGCCCUAUAUAGGCAGCAGAAGGGGGUAACUAACUGGGCUCAGCCCCCCACCCCCAAAUGCAGGGGGCAGCAGGUAUGGAUGGAGGGAAGCCUGGCCACUGGCUUCUGCAGCAGUGGGGAAGGGCACACACAUUCAGAUACUCUGUGCAGCCAGGAUCGUAGUCAGCUCAACAGGCAUAAUGACAGCUCUAUUGUUCCUGCUUGAAGAGCACAUCACACAUGUUUCUGUCCCUGAAUGUGAAGCCAACACAUAUGAUCAAAUUAAAUCAGCCUGGCUCAAGUACAUUUUAGAAACAACACAGUGCUGAACAUGUGAAAUUAAAUGCCACAAAACCCUCACCCAGCAACCCACCACCUGCAGCUCUACUAACCAUAUGCACAUGGCCUGUGGCUUUCCCCCUUCAUGAAGAGAAGUAGGAGCAGAAGUUGAUUCAUCUGAUGGAGUGUCCUGUUUCAUCUCAUCUUCAGAAAUGCAGUUGCUCAGCAAAAUUACAACUCAGAAAAACAAGAAAAGAAACCAGGAAAGCAAACAUAACAUAAUGUUAUAUAACAGAUUGAAAGAACAGUAAUAAAAGUAUCAGGUCUUUACCCCCCACCAUGAGCACUGUUACUCAAAGUUGCUGGCUUUCGCUGUGGAAAAACCUAGGUCUCCAUUCCCAAAGUAGUUUUGGCAAUGGGUAGGGUAGGAGCUAAUGACCCUCUGCUAUGGCAAUGCAUGCUCCACAACAUGUGCAUUCUUAGACAGGGCAGAGUCAUCCAAAGUAUCCAUUGGAACAAAUCAGACCUUGAAGUGCAGAGGUUUAAGUACCACAUCUUGUGCCUUUGGGAGAACCCUGCAGCAGAGAGUAGGGAAAGAGGGAGGGAAAGAAGGGUUGCUGGACAGCAUAGGGGUGCUCCUGCCUGGCUCCUACAGCAAGGUGGCACAGUGGAGGAUGCCCUUUUGGCAUCUAAGUCAGCACAGGGGCUGAUUCCAUGCUUUCUUCCCUUCCCUGCCCCUCCCCCACUCCCCACAAUUACACGAUUGCCAAACUGUUGCAAUCAGAUUUUAUAUACCAUAGGCAUUAUGUACGUGCUCCACAGACUUCAUAGUUAAAAGUUAUGAAAAAGAAUAACCUUCAACUCUCAGGACAAUAUUUGAAAGGCAUGUGUUGCGUAGCUCUAAGGACAAUACAGCACCUGAAACAGGAUGACUAAUGCAACUAGACCAUUUGUAUUUUGCAUAGAUUCAAUUACAUAGGUGCAAGUAGCAGUGGUGUGAUACAAUAGCACAAACAAAGCUCUCCAGGCCCAUUUAAUCUUUUAUGUAACCAACGGCUUCAAUGAGUUUACAGAAUGGAUGACUUUGGCCCUUCAUGGUUACUGGAAGAACAUAUCACUUCUCUUUACUCAUUUGACACCCUUCUGUACUUUGGAUCACGCUGCAUCUGUUGAAAGAUAUGUGGGUAUUGCAUUCACAGGGUCUGCAUUUAAAUAGACAGUCCUAACUGUUACUGCAGGGCAAGCAGUUAAUCACUGGAAAGCCACUUCCGUGAGGAACUAAUUGAUUCACAUCGUGAGAGAGAUUUUGCCAUCUACUUCAUAUGCUCUUUCCCCAAAUCACUGAUUUUGACAUUUUCUUUAAUAUUUCAUAAAGUCUUUUGCAACUGACUGACA